AUCGCGACUUGUCUUCAGUUUCAUUCAUAUUUUCCUUGCUUGCACCCACAAACACCAUUGAGAAGAACCAUGACAAUGUUGUCAAACUAUUUGUACUCACUCUCACAAACACCUCACAAGCUUAGAAAAAGAAUGCUAGCAACUUGGACACCAGACCACGAGUUCAACCAAGUGAGGCAGAGGUCAGGUGCAGACAUGCAGAGGAAGCUUAAAUGGUAUGAUCUUAUAGCUCUUGGAGUUGGAGGAAUGCUUGGUGUUGGUGUGUUUGUCACAACUGGACCUGUUGCUCUUCAUCAAUCUGGUCCUUCAGUCUUCAUAUCUUAUAUCAUUGCAUGAGUAUCAGCACUUCUUUUUUCUUUGUGUUACUCUGAAUUUGCAGUUCAAGUUCCUGUUGUUGGUGGAGCUUUCAGUUAUUUAAGAUUAACCUUUGGAGAAUUUAUGGGAUAUUUUGUUGAGCCAAAUAUACUAAUGGAGUAUGUGUUCUCAAAUGCUGUUGUAGCUAGAGCUUUACAG
Molecule: long non-coding RNA, 513 nt
Organism: Cicer arietinum (chickpea)
Lineage: Eukaryota; Viridiplantae; Streptophyta; Magnoliopsida; Fabales; Fabaceae
Source: RefSeq, a predicted model, not a curated record